CAGUAGCCACGGUAAUACGGAGGGAGCUAGCGUUGUUCGGAAUCACUGGGCGUAAAGCGCACGUAGGCGGCUAUUCAAGUCAGGGGUGAAAGCCCGGGGCUCAACCCCGGAACUGCCUUUGAAACUAGAUAGCUUGAAUCUUGGAGAGGCGAGUGGAAUUCCGAGUGUAGAGGUGAAAUUCGUAGAUAUUCGGAAGAGCACCAGUGGCGAAGGCGACUCGCUGGACAAGUAUUGACGCUGAGGUGCGAAAGCGUGGGGAGCAAACAGGAUUAGAGACCCGCGUAGUCCCUGUCUCUUAUAC
This 301-nucleotide ribosomal RNA is filed under the name uncultured bacterium. Its description in RNAcentral is "partial 16S ribosomal RNA". It matches the Rfam family "Bacterial small subunit ribosomal RNA", at positions 509 to 807 of the family's 1533-position model. The record is from RNAcentral.